Nannospalax galili (Upper Galilee mountains blind mole rat) is the source of this 6450-nucleotide RNA transcript. It is a transcript of the gene named N-deacetylase and N-sulfotransferase 3, with no coding region annotated. Lineage: Eukaryota; Metazoa; Chordata; Mammalia; Rodentia; Spalacidae. The transcript is spliced from 14 exons. The record is from RefSeq and is a predicted model, not a curated record.
GGUCCCUUGGUCUUGUAUGUGACACUCUUGCCCUCUAGGGCCUCUCCAGCUUGGUAGCAGUUUGAUGACUAAUAUUAAUAAGAUGUUACAUAACACGAGGGUACUGGGCCAGGACUGGUAUUGCUGCCACUUGUAAAGGCAAAAAGCCCAGCCGAUGGUUGCAGACGCUGCUGUUUGGGUUUCUUUUCUGUCCAUUGAAACUUUCCACAGCAUUUUUCAACUCUUUGAGCUUAAAUUCCAGACUGUAUUUCCUGUGAAUCCUGAUCAAGCAAUACAAAUGUGCUGCAAUGGUGACAUAAACCAUUGACUGAGCCUGGGGACACAACCGAAACACAGUCUUCGCUCUUACUUUUUCAUGGUGCUUCCGUUUGAAUAAAGACAGUGCAACAUGAGUUUUAUCAUGAAGCUCCACAGACACUUUCAAAGGACAGUCAUUCUGCUUGCCACUUUUUGUAUGGUGAGCAUUGUUAUUUCUGCUUACUACCUGUAUAGUGGCUACAAACAGGAAAAUGAACUCUCUGGAAUGGCUUCAGAAGUGGACUGUGGUGACCUCCAACAUAUACCCUAUCGGCUGAUGGAAGUGAAGACGGAAAAGCUUUCUGAUGCCACAAGAACAGACCCCAUGGUCCUGGUGUUUGUGGAGAGCCAGUACUCCACCCUUGGUCAAGACAUUGUUAUGAUUCUAGAAUCAAACCGAUUCCAGUACCACAUUGAAAUCGCUCCUGGAAAAGGAGACCUCCCUGCACUUACAGACAAAACAAAAGGCAAAUAUAUUCUCAUUAUUUAUGAGAAUAUUUUAAAGUAUAUAAACAUGGACUCUUGGAAUAGAAGCCUUUUAGAUAAAUACUGUGUAGAAUAUGGUGUGGGUAUCAUUGGAUUCCACAAAGCCGGUGAGAAAAAUGUACAGAGCUUUCAGUUAAAAGGUUUCCCUUUUUCCAUAAACGGAAACCUUGCAGUAAAAGAUUGCUGUGUUAAUCCCCAUUCACCGUUGCUUCAUGUGACUAAAUCAUCCAAGCUUGACAAAGGUUCUUUACCUGGAAUUGACUGGACAGUUUUUCAGAUUAACCACUCAGCCUACCAACCAGUAAUAUUUGCCAAAGUUAAGACCCCAGAAAACCUUUCUCCUCCCAUCUCCAAAGGUGCUUUUCAUGCUACUGUCGUACACGACCUGGGGCUUCAUGAUGGGAUUCAGAGAGUUCUUUUUGGCAACAACUUGAACUUCUGGCUGCACAAGCUCAUCUUCAUAGAUGCCAUCUCCUUCCUGUCGGGGAAGAGGUUGACGUUGUCCUUGGACAGGUACAUCCUCGUGGACAUCGAUGAUAUAUUUGUGGGGAAGGAGGGGACAAGGAUGAAUGUCAAGGAUGUGAAGGCCCUGCUUGACACUCAGAAUCUUUUGCGUGCUCAAAUCACAAAUUUUACAUUCAACUUGGGAUUUUCAGGGAAAUUUUAUCACACAGGAACAGAAGAAGAAGAUGAAGGGGAUGAUUGUCUGUUGGGGUCCGUGGAUGAGUUCUGGUGGUUUCCUCAUAUGUGGAGUCAUAUGCAGCCCCACCUCUUCCAUAAUGAGUCAUCUUUGGUGGAGCAGAUGAUUCUCAACAAAAAAUUUGCCUUAGAGCACGGAAUUCCUACGGAUAUGGGCUAUGCAGUGGCCCCUCAUCACUCGGGUGUCUACCCUGUACAUGUUCAGCUUUAUGAGGCCUGGAAGAAGGUUUGGAAUAUUAAAAUCACCAGCACUGAAGAAUAUCCACAUCUGAAACCAGCUAGAUAUCGGAGAGGCUUCAUCCACAAAAACAUCAUGGUUCUUCCAAGGCAGACCUGUGGGCUUUUCACUCACACAAUUUUCUACAAGGAGUAUCCCGGAGGUCCUAAGGAACUGGACAAGAGUAUUCAAGGAGGGGAACUCUUCUUCACUGUGGUACUCAACCCAAUCAGUAUCUUCAUGACCCAUCUGUCUAACUAUGGAAAUGACCGACUGGGGCUGCAUACGUUUGUGAAUCUAGCCAACUUCCUGCAGACCUGGACCAACCUGCGCCUUCAGACCCUGCCCCCAGUGCAGCUGGCUCACAAGUAUUUUGAGCUCUUUCCUGAUCAGAAAGAUCCUCUCUGGCAGAACCCUUGUGAUGACAAACGCCACAGAGACAUUUGGUCUAAAGAAAAAACGUGUGAUCGUUUACCAAAAUUCUUGGUAAUAGGACCCCAGAAAACUGGUACCACUGCUUUGUAUUUGUUCCUGGUUAUGCACCCUUCCAUCCUUAGUAACUCCCCCAGCCCAAAAACCUUUGAGGAGGUAUAUGGAUUUCUUCCCAGUUCCAUCUAAUGUCACCACUGACUUUCUGUUUGAGAAGAGUGCCAAUUACUUUCACUCAGAGGAAGCCCCUAAAAGGGCAGCUUCUCUAGUCCCCAAAGCCAAGAUCAUCACCACUCUCAUUGACCCAUCGGACCGAGCAUACUCCUGGUACCAGCAUCAACGGUCCCAUGAAGAUCCCGCGGCACUGAAGUUUAGCUUCUAUGAAGUGAUCUCCGCUGGGCCCCAUGCACCCUGGGAACUUCGAACCCUGCAGAAGAGAUGCUUGGUCCCAGGGUGGUAUGCCAGCCACAUUGAGAGAUGGCUCAUGUAUUUCCCGCCCUUUCAGUUGCUAAUUAUCGAUGGGCAACAGCUAAGAAUCGACCCUGCAACAGUGAUGGAUGAAGUGCAGAAGUUUCUAGGAGUCUUGCCUCAUUAUAAUUAUUCUGAAGCUUUAACGUUUGAUUCUCGUAAAGGAUUCUGGUGUCAGUUACUGGAAGAAGGAAAAACAAAAUGCCUUGGCAAAAGUAAGGGAAGGAAAUACCCACCCAUGGAUCCCAGUAGCAGAGCGUUUCUGUCUGGUUACUACCGAGACCACAAUGUGGAGCUCUCUAAGCUGCUGCACAGGCUGGGCCAGCCUCUGCCCUCAUGGCUGAGACAGGAGCUGCAGAAAGUGAGAUAGCACCUAGAAAAAGACUUCUCAAGAAUUCUUCUUCCAUGUAAUGACACACAGCUUUUCCAAAGCUCACAGAAGCGACCAAAAGGCUGUCAAAAAAUAUACCUCUACAAACGAAAAGAACAUGGUUCCUUCCAUGUGCUGGCAUGUGGAGGACUGGGGAUGGGGGGAUGGGGAAACAUAAAUGGUAUCUCUUAAAAGCUUUGAGGCCUAUGGCUUUCCUCUUAACCCAUACUGAGCCUGGGGGUUUCCUGUAGACUACUGUGCACUCAUGUGGAAGCCAAUAGCAACCAACAUAAAUAAAAAACACUGAUGAAGAACUAUUCCAUUUCAUAGUAAUAUUUACACUUUUGUGUAUAAACUGAAAUUGUGUUCUGUAGAUUUUUGGACCACUGUUUGCCUGUACAAUGUUUUCUUAUUCUUUGAUUCUGUGAAGUAGCUUAUAUAACAAGAACUAAAAUAAAUAUCACAAUGUAACAUAAAAUCCGAAAAGCAUAACACUCAUGAACAAUGCUGCCAAAAUCUAAAUCCACGGAAUAUUUAGAGGGAAUUUUAGACCACAAUGUGUGCUAGGUCAGAGAAUGGGACGUUAGAUAUGAGCUUCAUCUUCAUUAAAAAGAAGUAAAGAACAGUGCUAUAGCAAAGAAAAUAGUUCUCAUCUAUAUAGUCUAGUGUGCUUAUGCAAAUCCAUGCUGUAAACGGUAAAUAGAAACACAUUUCUUACAGCAAAACAACACAUAGUAAUGGAAAGGUGCAGACUAAAUCCUCUAAGAGGGAGACGGGCUAGGUGCAAAGAGACAUGGCUGAGCACUGUGCUGCCUGCUGCAAGCUGACAGUCUAGUCUGCUCACCCUCGCCCGUUGUGCGGGGAUGUGCACAGUCCGUGAGUAUCCACUCUAAUUCACACUGACUAAAUGUGCAGAGAAUCUGCUGAACAGCUCUACCAAAUGAAAACUAAGGACAGCCUUCCCAUGUUGCUUUAUUUAGGCUAGUCACAUUUAAAUUAUUGAAAACCGCAUCUUCCCAGGUAGCUCAAAAGAAAAUGAUUUAAUGUACAAAUAUAUUUAAAAAUGAAUUCACAUAUGAAUUUUAAUAUACUAUUUGAAAUAAUACAUGUGGUACAUGGUAGAGACAAGUAAGCAGGAUAAAAUUCCAUUUUUGAGAAUCUCUCACAUACCCAUAUCUUCCACAUCCAUGCAAGACAGCAGAACAUAGUGAAAUUUAUGGAUUAGUUACUAAAUCAAACGCAAGAAGUACAUACAAAGAUGAGCGUCACUUGUGAAAUAUGUUUACACUUAUAAUUUAAACUAUAUGUAUAAUAAGUUAUUUUUAAGAAAGAGUACAAUAGGUUAUACUUAUUUUCCUGUGUUAAUAUUUACUUAAUUUUCAAUUGUACUUUAUACCUAUAUAGGUAUAAGUAGCAAGUUUCUGGCUAUGAUUUUGUAAUCUCUUAUGAAAUAUUUUAAAGGAUAUGCUCAGAAAAAAAAUAGGUGAGGAAAAUCAAUAGCCUAAAGACUUUGUCAUUAUAGUGCAUAAAACUGUAGUCUCUCAGUUAUUUGCUAAUUAGAAAACCAAACUGAAAUGCUUCCACUUACUAUUAAUUUCCCUAUACACAUUACAAUUACUGAUCUGAAAAGUUUUUAAAGAUUUACAUACUCAAAGAAUGCAAUAAUUUUAAAGCAAUUAUCAGAAAGAAUUGUAAAAAGAACCAAAUUUUAAGAACCGUCCAAGAAGCAAAAAUCAAAAUUCAGUGAAAUCAGCCCUCCUGCCGCCAGAAGGGUCAAACUAGUAAGAACAGAGCCCAGAGUUACAUGCUGUCACGAUUCCAUUUGGCAAGUGCUUCUACUGAUGAAGGAAAUGAACGAAAGAUAAACUAACACAUGCUGUUUAAACAAGGCUGCACAACCGGGCUUCUAGAUAAACUGGCUACUGGCAUCACUUAGUCUCGGUAGACAGUGCCUUUAAAAUGAAUAGCUGCAGCAUAGCACUUGUAUAAUGAAAGGAAAAGGGAGAUGGUACUGAGACCUGCUUGCUCACAAGCGCAUGUUUGGGUAGCAAACUUUUGAAAGGGUUUUGAGCAUUCAGCAUGUCUGAGAGACGGCACCCAAUUCUAGAGAACACUGUGGUACGUUUCAUGCUGUGGAGUCCAGCUGACUAGUCUGCGAUUCUGAAAAUACCAGAAAUACGCAUGAGAAAAGAAUGAGAGAGCACGAGUUUUAAAACCAGCUUUGUAUAGAAUUCCCUUUUUCAUUGCUUAAAAUAUGGAACUUCCUCAGGAAGAAAUGAAAUGGUUAUUUCAGUGUUUACAGCUAUAAUAUUCUUGUCAUUCACAUUGAAUGAAAAUUACUGGGAACAUUUUUUUCUCUGAGUUUUUUUAAAAGAAAAAAACCCAAUAUAAUUCUAAUAGUGGCAUGGUACCUCAUAUGUAUAACAAUAAAGUCUGAUAAUAAAAUGAAGGAGUUGGGCUGGUGAUUUUAGGCAAUAAGCAGGUAUUUGAUUUUUUUUGCCUGGGGUGGGGGGGCACAGCAGUGGGAAAUGGUCAAGGGUUAUAAGCACCACUCCUAUAAUGUAAAAUGGAGAAAUGGCUGCAAAGCUUAAUAGGAAGUAGGGAAUUUUUAUUAUACAAUCAUUUAAGUUUAUGUAUUGCUUGUGGUUUUGUUAUACUUCUAAUGGAUAUAAAGCAGUAGUUUCCCAAACACACAAAAACCUAGAAAAUAAUCUCCACAAAAAAUACAAUGUGAAGAGAGGAGUUAGAUAUUUAUCUUCAUUCUCCACAAACUUUCUUUUCUCUGUUUGAAUCUCUUUCAAGAUAUCAGAUUUUCUCAUGUCACAACCCAUCCUGCCUGAGCUCACCAAGCGUAUUCCCCAGCCAGCUCCCCCCAGAUGCAUUGCUCUGCCUGGAAUGCAGCUAACUCCUAGUUUUCUUUGCAAAUGACUCAUUCUAUGUUCCAUCAACCCCAGGAACAAUCAGGGAGCAGUUAAUUAACCAAGUAUCAAUAUUAGUCUUGUAAAAUGACUUAAUAGUAUGCUUUUUGAAAGAUCAGCCCUGCGGCUUCUAACUCAUACAUUUUAAGCAGUGAGUAAUUAAUGAAGAGGUACUGAACCAGUGAUGUCAAUGUAUUUCCCUAGUUUCAAAUCAUACUCUAUACCUGAAUUCUCUUCUGCCAACACUGGCUCUACAUGUAAAGUUAACAUCUCUUUUUCAUUUAUCGACAACAUUUAUAAUUUCUCCUUCUCUAAAGAUUUUUCUAAGUUGAUGACAUGUAGCUCAUUCCAAUUUUAGUGACCUAACAAUCUUUGUAUUUUUAAUUCCUGGGAGUUCAGGGACAGAAACUCACAUAUUAUUCCUGCCUACAUCGCACCUCCAAAACUUACAUAUAUAGCUAACCCAAAUAGCAAUCAGUUUAAGAGAAAUUAUUAGUCCGUGUGGAUAAUUCCUAAGAAAUGCUUUCCACAAAAAUCAGCCCAAUAAGGUUGGCUUCAAAUAUUCA